This 465-nucleotide ribosomal RNA is filed under the name uncultured bacterium. Its description in RNAcentral is "partial 16S ribosomal RNA". It matches the Rfam family "Bacterial small subunit ribosomal RNA", at positions 28 to 507 of the family's 1533-position model. The record is from RNAcentral.
GACGAACGCUGGCGGCGUGCUUAACACAUGCAAGUCGAACGGAAAGGCCCCUUUUGGGGUCCUCGAGUGGCGAACGGGGGAGUAACACGUGAGUAACCUGCCCUUGACUUCGGGAUAACUUCAGGAAACUGGGGCUAAUACCGGAUAGGAAUCCUUGCUGCAUGGUGGGGGUUGGAAAGCUUCGGCGGUUUUGGAUGGACUCGCGGCUGAUCAGCUUGUUGGUGGGGUAGUGGCUUACCAAGGCUUUGACGGGUAGCCGGCCUGAGAGGGCGACCGGCCACAUUGGGACUGAGAUACGGCCCAGACUCCUACGGGAGGCAGCAGUGGGGAAUAUUGCACAAUGGGCGGAAGCCUGAUGCAGCACCGCCGCGUGCGGGAUGACGGCCUUCGGGUUGUAAACCGCUUUCAGCAGGGGCGAAGCUUGUGGUGACGGUACCUGCAGAAGAAGCACCGGCUAACUACGUG